This 160-nucleotide transfer RNA is filed under the name Anopheles sinensis. It matches the Rfam family "tRNA". From Rfam's summary of the family: Transfer RNA (tRNA) molecules are approximately 80 nucleotides in length. Their secondary structure includes four short double-helical elements and three loops (D, anti-codon, and T loops). Further hydrogen bonds mediate the characteristic L-shaped molecular structure. tRNAs have two regions of fundamental functional importance: the anti-codon, which is responsible for specific mRNA codon recognition, and the 3' end, to which the tRNAs corresponding amino acid is attached (by aminoacyl-tRNA synthetases). tRNAs cope with the degeneracy of the genetic code in two manners: having more than one tRNA (with a specific anti-codon) for a particular amino acid; and 'wobble' base-pairing, i.e. permitting non-standard base-pairing at the 3rd anti-codon position. Lineage: Eukaryota; Metazoa; Arthropoda; Insecta; Diptera; Culicidae. The record is from Rfam by way of RNAcentral.
CCUUCGAUAGCUCAGUUGGUAGAGCGGUGGACUGUAGAGGAAUCCGUCCGAAUGGUUGUGUGUACCCCUUUCUCUCAGUGUAUGGAACACAAAAAUAUCUCUACCAUUUCGUGAUGUUUCAGUAAUCCAUAGGUCACUGGUUCAAAUCCGGUUCGAAGGA